Molecule: small nuclear RNA, 104 nt
Filed under: Spermophilus dauricus (Daurian ground squirrel)
Lineage: Eukaryota; Metazoa; Chordata; Mammalia; Rodentia; Sciuridae
Source: RNAcentral
GUGCUUGCUUCAGCAGCACAUUUACUAAAAUUGAAACGAUACAGAGAUUAGCAUGGCCUCUGCGCAAGGAUGACUCGCAAAUUCAUGAAGCGUUCCAUAUUUUU